CGAGAAUGUGAAAGCCCCGGGCUCAACCUGGGAAACGGCACUUCGAACUGCAUGGCUAGAGUGUGGUAGAGGGUAGUGGAAUUUCCUGUGUAGCGGUGAAAUGCGUAGAUAUAGGAAGGAACACCAGUGGCGAAGGCGGCUACCUGGACCAACACUGACACUGAGGUGCGAGAGCGUGGGGAGCAAACAGGACUAGAUACCCUGGUAGUCACGCCGUAAACGAUGUCAACUAGCCGUUGGGGAUCUUGAAUCCUUAGUGGCGCAGCUAACGCACUAAGUUGAUCGCCUGGGGAGUACGGCCGCAAGGUUAAAACUCAAAUGAAUUGACGGGGGCCCGCACAAGCGGUGGAGCAUGUGGUUUAAUUCGACGCAACGCGAAGAACCUUACCUGGCCUUGACAUGCAGAGAACUUUCCAGAGAUGGAUCGGUGCCUUCGGGAACUCUGACACAGGUGCUGCAUGGCCGUCGUCAGCUCGUGUCGUGAGAUGUUGGGUUAAGUCCCGUAACGAGCGCAACCCCUAUCCCUAGUUGCUAGCAGGUAAUGCUGAGAACUCUAGGGAGACUGCCGGUGACAAACCGGAGGAAGGUGGGGAUGACGUCAGGUCAUCAUGGCCCUUACGGCCAGGGCUACACACGUGCUACAAUGGCGCGCACAGAGGGCUGCAAACCCGCGAGGGGGAGCCAAUCUCACAAAACGCGUCGUAGUCCGGAUCGGAGUCUGCAACUCGACUCCGUGAAGUCGGAAUCGCUAGUAAUCGUGAAUCAGAAUGUCACGGUGAAUACGUUCCCGGGCCUUGUACACACCGCCCGUCACACCAUGGGAGUAGAUUGCACCAGAAGUAGUUAGUCUAACCUUCGGGAGGACGAUUACCACUUUGUGGUUCAUGACUGGGGUGAAGUCGUAACAAGGUA
Molecule: ribosomal RNA, 912 nt
Filed under: uncultured Marinobacter sp.
Lineage: Bacteria; Pseudomonadati; Pseudomonadota; Gammaproteobacteria; Pseudomonadales; Marinobacteraceae
Description: bacterial SSU rRNA
Rfam family: Bacterial small subunit ribosomal RNA
Source: RNAcentral